This 494-nucleotide ribosomal RNA is filed under the name uncultured bacterium. RNAcentral's name for it is "partial 16S ribosomal RNA". It matches the Rfam family "Bacterial small subunit ribosomal RNA", at positions 28 to 507 of the family's 1533-position model. The record is from RNAcentral.
GACGAACGCUGGCGGCGCGCUUAACACAUGCAAGUCGAACGGAAAGGCCUGCUUUCCCUUGUGGAUUGCGGGUACUCGAGUGGCGAACGGGUGAGUAACACGUGAGUGAUCUGCCCCCAACUUGGGUAUAAGCCUGGGAAACUGGGUCUAAUUCCCGAUAGGACUGCAGGGUGGUGCCUGUGGUGGAAAACGAUUUUCUAGUGGUUGGGGAUGAGCUCGCGGCCUAUCAGCUUGUUGGUGGGGUAAUGGCCUACCAAGGCGGCGACGGGUAGCCGGCCUGGGAGGGUGGACGGCGACAUUGGGACUGGGACACGGCCCAGACGCCUACGGGAGGCAGCAGUGGGGAAUAUUGCACAAUGGGCGGAAGGGUGAUGCAGCGACGCAGCGUGGGGGAUGACGGCCUUCGGGUUGUAUACUCCUUUCGACCGCGAGGAAGCCACCUGGUUGGAAGGGUGGUGACGGUAGUGGUAGAAGAAGCACCGGCUAACUACGUG